GAUGAAGAAACGCAGCGAAAUGCGAUACGUAGUGUGAAUUGCAGAAUUCCGUGAACCAUCGAAUCUUUGAACGCACAUUGCGCUCGAGGCUUCGGCCAAGAGCAUGUCUGCCUCAGCGUCGUUUUAUACCCUCGCUCCCCACCUUAUAUGGUGUCGGUCCAAUGCUUCGCGCUUGGGCCUUGGGAGCGGAUCUGGCUCUCCCAAUGCGGCUUUGCUGCUCGGAUUGGGUUAGCUGAAGCACAGAGGCUUGAGCAUGGACCCGAUAUGGGCAUCAACUGGAUAGGUAGCGCCAGCUUCGGCUGUCUACACGAAGUUGUUGUCUGUGGACCUUGCUGGAGGCCAGUCGAACGUGCGUUGUUGCACGUUCACCUCUUUAUACUUCGACCUGAGCUCAGGCAAGGCUACCCGCUGAACUUAAGCAUAUCAAUAAGCGGAGGA
This 438-nucleotide unclassified non-coding RNA is filed under the name soil metagenome. RNAcentral's name for it is "partial contains 5.8S ribosomal RNA, internal transcribed spacer 2, and large subunit ribosomal RNA". The stretch from base 1 to 121 matches the Rfam family "5.8S ribosomal RNA", at positions 35 to 154 of the family's 154-position model. The record is from RNAcentral.